RNAcentral lists this ribosomal RNA (253 nucleotides) under uncultured bacterium. Its description in RNAcentral is "partial 16S ribosomal RNA". It matches the Rfam family "Bacterial small subunit ribosomal RNA", at positions 524 to 776 of the family's 1533-position model. The record is from RNAcentral.
CACGUAGGAGGCGAGCGUUGUCCGGAAUCAUUGGGCGUAAAGAGCGCGCAGGCGGCUUGACAAGUCGGGUGUGAAAUCCCGGGGCUCAACCCCGGGACUGCAUUCGAUACUGUCAGGCUAGAGGUAGGUAGGGGAGAUCGGAAUUCCUGGUGUAGCGUUGAAAUGCGCAGAUAUCAGGAGGAACACCGGUGGCGAAGGCGGAUCUCUGGGCCUUACCUGACGCUCAGGCGCGAAAGCUAGGGGAGCGAACAGG